AUAAAUCCCAAAACUUGCACCAGAUGAAGGCCCAAUUCACAAUAACUUGGUCUCAAAAUGUUGGCAUUGGCCAAGACCUUUGCAUAUGAAAUGUUGCCUAAUCCUAAGUCCAAAAGUUCAGAUCAAGCUCAACAGUCCACUCAAACAUUUUUUUAGGGUUUUUGUUGUUUAUUAGGUAUUUUAAGGUCCUAAGACCACAAACACAAUCAAAAUACACAAGCAAAUAUAUACAAUCACAAUAUAUGGCUCAAAUGAGCAAAGUGAAAAUGACAUAAAC
This 277-nucleotide long non-coding RNA is filed under the name Lathyrus oleraceus (garden pea). RNAcentral's name for it is "Pisum sativum (pea) long non-coding RNA (PSAT_LNC008233)". The record is from RNAcentral. Lineage: Eukaryota; Viridiplantae; Streptophyta; Magnoliopsida; Fabales; Fabaceae.